Molecule: ribosomal RNA, 492 nt
Filed under: uncultured bacterium
Lineage: Bacteria
Description: partial 16S ribosomal RNA
Rfam family: Bacterial small subunit ribosomal RNA
Source: RNAcentral
AGUGAACGCUGGCGGUAGGCCUAACACAUGCAAGUCGAACGGCAGCACAGUAAGAGCUUGCUCUUACGGGUGGCGAGUGGCGGACGGGUGAGGAAUACAUCGGAAUCUACUUUUUUGUGGGGGAUAACGUAGGGAAACUUACGCUAAUACCGCAUACGACCUACGGGUGAAAGCAGGGGAUCUUCGGACCUUGCGCGAUUGAAUGAGCCGAUGUCGGAUUAGCUAGUUGGCGGGGUAAAGGCCCACCAAGGCGACGAUCCGUAGCUGGUCUGAGAGGAUGAUCAGCCACACUGGAACUGAGACACGGUCCAGACUCCUACGGGAGGCAGCAGUGGGGAAUAUUGGACAAUGGGCGCAAGCCUGAUCCAGCCAUACCGCGUGGGUGAAGAAGGCCUUCGGGUUGUAAAGCCCUUUUGUUGGGAAAGAAAAGCAGCAGGUUAAUACCCCGCUGUUCCGACGGUACCCAAAGAAUAAGCACCGGCUAACUUCGUG